Molecule: long non-coding RNA, 482 nt
Organism: Arabidopsis thaliana (thale cress)
Lineage: Eukaryota; Viridiplantae; Streptophyta; Magnoliopsida; Brassicales; Brassicaceae
Product: other RNA
Exons: 1
Source: RefSeq
CUAAGGGGUGUCUUAGUGUCGAAUAAUUCCAUUUAGGCAAAGCUUGGUGUAAGAUUUUCUAUUGAAAAUUAUUGAGGAUUAGGCACAUUGCCAAACGUCAUGAAAUUUCUUGUGUGCUCAUAAUCUUGUAAUAACAUAAGUAUGAACUAAGACAUCAAUAUUAGAUAACAUGAAGGAAUGUGGAAAAGAGAGUUUAAUUAUAUAUGUUGGAUUGAGGAUUGUCCAUGGUUUAGCCUGCCAUUUUGUAAGCUUUUACAAAGUUGGAAGAGUAUAAGCAUUUAAGGUAGUAUCUCCGGUGCUGGGGUUUCGUGUUUAAGGUAUUAUAAGUAGCUUGUUGUGUAGAAAAAAGAUUUUUCCUAAAUAUUUGUGGGAAAUGUGGAAGUAUUUAUAGGGUUGACCAAAUGUAAAUUUGUUUAGUACUGGGUUAUCUGACCUGAGUUGGUGGAACUCCUAACAUGUGAGUCGCAUGUCAGCCUCUCUGU